UAUGGCUAUAAGACAAAUACAGAGGCUCACCUAGCAAAGUCACCAAAAGUAAAAGCCAACACACACGGCCACACCUCCUCAUCUACACAAGCGAAACAGAGUAAAAGCAGAUACUUAGGAGUCAUCCCUCACAUUGAAUGCUUCCUCAGACACUGUUUGUUGUUCUCGUGUCUUUUUCUUUUCAAAUCCAACGCACCCGUCUCGUUUCCACCGCCAUUUAUAAUAAUCUCUCCCUCUCUGCCACUCUCUGAUACCAAUGCCAUAAACAAAAGGACAACUACACAAAAACAACACCUACAUUUCAUGGCAGCAACAGCAACAACAACAGCGACAGCAAAAACCACAACAGCGUCAGCUACUGCUCAGCUCAAAGCGCAAACCCACCAACCCACCAAGCCCAAACGCCGCAGGUAUCGGGAAACCACCAUCUCCUCCUCCGCCGCAGCCACCACAGACUCUCCUGGAUAUCACCUGACCCGGAAACCCGACCCACCGGCCAUUGUCUCGCCCGACCACCAUCCCUGGUGCUGCCCAGCAUCGAAGACGCCUCCGCCUCCACCUCCUCCACCGUCUCCUCCACAUACACGAGGUACCCAUAACCGGAGCACGGAACCCAGUAACUCGUCGCCGUCCAAUUCGCCGUCGAGCUUCAGGAUCCGAUUCUCUCCGGGCAGUCAGUCGCCGGUCAUGGACUUCACGUCCACUUCGACCACGAUGAUCAACGGUCACGAUUCAUUCCCGUCGAGCUUCACGAAGUUCAACUCGGCCCUCACUGCCGGGCUGUUGAACCCGAUGUCGCCGCCACCCCCACCCGAAAAGUUGACCCGAUCCAGCCCGACCCUUUUCGAAAUGAUGGCCAGCGAGCCCGAAAUCCACCAACCCAGAACCCAGAUCGCACCCCAAAACGCCGCCGCAAUGGUCCCCAAACCACCCCCGGACGGGCAAGCCCUCACAAUGCAGCGAAUCUCCGAGAUCCUAUCUAGUCGGAGCCCGGGAAACCAGUUCAACGACCCCACCUCGAGCGACAUCAAGCUCACACUGAGCUCCAAAGAGGGUCUCAGUGUGUCAAUGAAUCUCCACCGUCAGAUUCUCGUGGCGCACAGCAGGUUCUUCUCAGUCAAGUUGUCUGAGCGGUGGGCAAAGACGCAGAGAGCAACGGGGUCGCCGUAUAUAGUGGAGAUUGCGGACUGCGACGACGUGGAGGUGUACAUCGAGACGUUGAGGUUGAUGUAUUGUAAGGAUCUGAGGAAGAGGCUCAUGAAAGAGGAUGUUCCCAGAGUUCUUGGCAUCUUAAAGGUAUCAGCAGCGAUUGGGUUUGAUGCUGGAGUGUUAUCUUGCUUGGAGUACUUAGAAGCUGCCCCUUGGGCUGAGGAUGAGGAAGAAAAGGUGGCUUCAUUGUUGUCUGAGCUCCGUCUUGAAGGUGUUGGAGCUGGGGAAGUUUUGAAAAGGGUUUCGGUUGAGGUUACUAAUGGAACUGAGGAUGGUAAUGACAAUGAAGGAGUGCUGCUUAAACUUUUACAUGUAGUUCUUGAAGGCAAAGAUGAGAAGGCGAGGCGGGAAAUGAAGGGAUUGGUGUCGAAGAUGCUUCGUGAGAACUCGGCGCAGAGUGAUCUCCGGAAGGAUUCGUUGUACUCGGCUUGUGAUGGGUGUUUGCAGUUGCUUUGCCACCAUUUUUUGAGGGUAGCAGGGUCGGACUUACAGGAUGUGGGUCAGAUUGCGCGACAAGCGGAUAAUUUGCAUUGGAUUUUGGAUAUUCUGAUAGAUAGGCAGAUUGCUGAAGAUUUUUUGAAAACAUGGGCAUCUCAAUCUGAAUUGUCCAGUGCACAUUCUAAAGUGGCUGCAGUUCAUAGGUUUGAGGUUAGCAGAGUUACUGCACGGCUUUUUGUUGGGAUUGGGAAGGGGCAACUAUUGGCUUCUAAGGAUGUGAGGUGCUUGCUAUUACGGACAUGGCUGGAGCCAUUCUAUGAUGAUUUUGGGUGGAUGAGAAGGGCAUCAAAAGGCCUUGAUCGUCACCUAAUUGAAGAUGGUCUUAGUAACACAAUUCUCACUCUGCCUCUAGCUUGGCAGCAGGAAAUUUUGCUAGCUUGGUUUAAUCGUUUCUUGAACUCUGGUGAAGAUUGUCCAAACAUACAAAGAGGUUUUGAAGUUUGGUGGAGGAGGGCUUUUUGGAGACGAAAUGGCGAGCAGGAAAGGCAACGACCAUUAAGAAUUACAACUGCCACUGUUGAGAACUAGAAGUCUAUACUUGCACAAUGUAGGAAAGGUUGGUGCUCUAACGGCUCUGUUGUCUCCCAAUUCCCCUAUGUAAUGACUUUGGUUAUGAUCCUUCAUUGAUGGUUGUAUUUUUUCUUUGGCUUCUUCCUUUCUAAACCGGGAUGGGCAGUUGUUCAUCGAGGAGUUAACUUCCAUAGAGGUGUAUCCUGUAUUUACCUUGACUGGAAGUAGCUGGGUUUAGCCUGGAAGAAGAUAAAGACCUCUUGGUGCAAAGUCCUUAUCACGUUGAGAAGUAAACUGAGUAAACUGUUUCAGAGAGAUAAAAGAUGGGCUUUAGGAUGUUGGACGUUACAUGCUAAGAUGAUCACUAUGCAAGUAUUACUGUUCAGAACAGCAUAGAUAAUUGGUACUUUUGUGGCCUGAUAAUAUUAAAUUUAGAUGAUUGUUCUUUUUAUUUAAUUUUUUUGACCUAAGUAUUCUUAGGAAUAACUUAUGCAAGGGUUUUCCUGUGGGAAUAUAACUUGCUUCUUCAUUGAUCUUUGAUUCUGUGAACUUAAUAUGCUAGAGGAGGCUGGGGGAUUCCCAUUCUACCA
RNA transcript from Corylus avellana, 2807 nucleotides. It is a transcript of the gene named BTB/POZ domain-containing protein, with no coding region annotated. Lineage: Eukaryota; Viridiplantae; Streptophyta; Magnoliopsida; Fagales; Betulaceae. The record is from RefSeq and is a predicted model, not a curated record.